CGGACCGGCCGGCACGGUCGGAGUAACAACGUAUCACCACNCUCAUACUCGGGGAUAGCCUUUCGAAAGAAAGAUUAAUACCCGAUGUUAUAGUCCUACCGCAUGAUGGGAUUAUUAAAGAAUUUCGGUAUGGGAUGGGGAUGCGUUCCAUUAGUUAGUUGGCGGGGUAACGGCCCACCAAGACAACGAUGGAUAGGGGUUCUGAGAGGAAGGUCCCCCACAUUGGAACUGAGACACGGUCCAAACUCCUACGGGAGGCAGCAG
This 264-nucleotide ribosomal RNA is filed under the name uncultured bacterium. RNAcentral's name for it is "partial 16S ribosomal RNA". It matches the Rfam family "Bacterial small subunit ribosomal RNA", at positions 87 to 354 of the family's 1533-position model. The record is from RNAcentral.